Molecule: ribosomal RNA, 468 nt
Filed under: uncultured bacterium
Lineage: Bacteria
Description: partial 16S ribosomal RNA
Rfam family: Bacterial small subunit ribosomal RNA
Source: RNAcentral
GACGAACGCUGGCGGCGUGCUUAACACAUGCAAGUCGAACGGAAAGGCCCUACUUUUGUGGGGUGCUCGAGUGGCGAACGGGUGCGUAACACGUGAGUAACCUGCCCUUGACUUUGGGAUAACUUCAGGAAACUGGGGCUAAUACCGGAUAGGAGCUCCUGCUGCGUGGUGGGGGUUGGAACGUUUCGGCGGUUGGGGAUGGACUCGCGGCUUAUCAGCUUGUUGGUGGGGUAGUGGCUUACCAAGGCUUUGACGGGUAGCCGGCCUGAGAGCGUGACCGGCGACAUGGGGACUGAGAGAGGCAGCAGACGGCUACGGUGGGCAGUAGUGGGGAAUAUGGCACAAUGGGCGGAAGUCUGAUGAAGAAACGUUCGGUGCGUGAUGACGGUCUGUGGGGUGUAAACAGCUUUCGCCUGUGACGAAGCGUGAGUGACGGUAAUGGGUAAAGAAGCACCGGCUAACUACGUG